GAUGAACGCUGGCGGCGUGCUUAACACAUGCAAGUCGAACGGAAAGGCCAGUGCUUUCACUGGUGCUCGAGUGGCGAACGGGUGAGUAACACGUGGGUGAUCUGCCCUGCACUUUGGGAUAAGCCUGGGAAACUGGGGCUAAUACCAGAUAGGACCAUCCUUUGGAUGGUGUGGUGGAAAGUUUUUUCGGUGUGGGAGGAGCUUGCGGCCUAUCAGCUUGUUGGUGGGGUAAUGGCCUACCAAGGCGUCGACGGGUAGCCGGCCUGAGAGGGUGUACGGCCACAUUGGGACUGAGAGAAGGCCCAGACUCCUACGGGAGGCAGCAGUGGGGAAUAUUGCACAAUGGGCGCAAGCCUGAUGCAGCGACGCCGCGUGGGGGAUGGCGGCCUUCGGGUUGUAAACCCCUUUCGCAACUGACGAAGCUUUUUGUGACGGUAGGUUGAGAAGAAGCACCGGCUAACUACGUG
Molecule: ribosomal RNA, 467 nt
Filed under: uncultured bacterium
Lineage: Bacteria
Description: partial 16S ribosomal RNA
Rfam family: Bacterial small subunit ribosomal RNA
Source: RNAcentral